CCUACGGGCGGCAGCAGUGAGGAAUAUUGGUCAAUGGCCGGAAGGCUGAACCAGCCAAGUCGCGGGAAGGAAGAAGGAUCUAUGGUGUGUAAACUUCUUUUAUAGGGGAAUAAAGGUAGCCACGUGUGGAUAUUUGCAUGUACCCUAUGAAUAAGCAUCGGCUAACUCCGUGCCAGCAGCCGCGGUAAUACGGAGGAGGCGAGCGUUAUACGGAUUUAUUGGGUUUCAAGGGUGCGUAGGUUGUUUUUUAAGUCAGCGGUGAAAGUUUGUGGCUCAACCAUAAAAUUGCCGUUGAAACUGGUAGCCUUGAGUGUGUUUGCGGUAGGCGGACUGCGUGGUGUAGCGG
This 346-nucleotide ribosomal RNA is filed under the name uncultured bacterium. RNAcentral describes it as "partial 16S ribosomal RNA". It matches the Rfam family "Bacterial small subunit ribosomal RNA", at positions 338 to 681 of the family's 1533-position model. The record is from RNAcentral.